GGACUAAUGAUUUAUAUUCGUUUCCUAUAAGGAACUGUCCCUGGAUCUAUUUCCAUUUUUCAUUUUCCCUUUUCUUUUUUCUUUUUCUUUUCUUAUAUAUAAAUUUUUAAAUCAUUGCUCCAUAUGAAAGCCAAAUGAUUCUCAGUUCUUUUCUUGAAACUAUUUAUCAAAUUUAUUGGGUUGUUACUUCUUGUUAAUGGUUCGUUUCAUAAUUUUAAAAGGGACAAGUAGCUUUGAAGAACACUGCACAAAAUUUAUUUGGGUCUGUGCAGGAUUUAGGACCAUAAACCCCUUCAACAAACCUUCAGACUUUUGAGAUUCACAGUAAUAUGACUUAUUAAAACUCAUACAGUGAAUCUGUCUGUCUGUCUAUAUCUCUCAAGCUUAAGUCAAUAUUCACUUUCCUUUUAGACUCAUUUAGAUUGAUAAGGUUUUCCUGUGGUUUGGGCAUUUGGCAGAGAAUGAAAAAUAUUGAUGCCGUUUUCUUUUGAUUGCAGGUGAUUGGUAUAUGUUGAUGAAGAUUUAGGCAUAGCAGGAACCUGAGAUGUGUGUUAGAGGCAUGGCGGAAAUUUGGGGGCUGAAGCCUGGAGAGUCCAACGGGGAAAGCAGUACCAGGUAUACAUCAAACAGCCAUGUUUUGUAAAUAUUACAUGUUUACAUAAUUUCCCUAUGUUUUUGGCUACAUGGAGUGUCGUUGAGAUUAAUGUUUUAGUUCAUGGUUGACAACUCUUCCAAAGGAAAUUGCAAACUGCCUGUUGCCCUUUUUGCCUU
This is a long non-coding RNA of Vitis riparia (riverbank grape), 771 nucleotides long. RefSeq lists it as uncharacterized. The transcript is spliced from 2 exons. Lineage: Eukaryota; Viridiplantae; Streptophyta; Magnoliopsida; Vitales; Vitaceae. The record is from RefSeq and is a predicted model, not a curated record.